RNAcentral lists this non-coding RNA (52 nucleotides) under marine eukaryotic metagenome. The record is from RNAcentral.
CCGUGGAGGGAUUUGAUUGCUUGCAACCACAUUUGAAAAAAAAUGCUAAAAU